AGAUUGAACUGAAGAGUUUGAUCCUGGCUCAGAUUGAACGCUGGCGGCAUGCUUUACACAUGCAAGUCGAACGGCAGCGCGGGGGCAACCCUGGCGGCGAGUGGCGAACGGGUGAGUAAUACAUCGGAACGUGUCCCGUAGUGGGGGAUAACCCGGCGAAAGCCGGACUAAUACCGCAUAUGCUCUACGGAGGAAAGUGGGGGACCCGCAAGGGCCUCAUGCUAUGGGAGCGGCCGAUGUCCGAUUAGCUUGUUGGCGGGGUAACGGCCCACCAAGGCGACGAUCGGUAGCUGGUCUGAGAGGAUGAUCAGCCACACUGGGACUGAGACACGGCCCAGACUCCUACGGGAGGCAGCAGUGGGGAAUUUUGGACAAUGGGGGCAACCCUGAUCCAGCCAUGCCGCGUGAGU
Molecule: ribosomal RNA, 410 nt
Filed under: Betaproteobacteria bacterium
Lineage: Bacteria; Pseudomonadati; Pseudomonadota; Betaproteobacteria
Description: bacterial SSU rRNA
Rfam family: Bacterial small subunit ribosomal RNA
Source: RNAcentral